This 497-nucleotide ribosomal RNA is filed under the name uncultured bacterium. Its description in RNAcentral is "partial 16S ribosomal RNA". It matches the Rfam family "Bacterial small subunit ribosomal RNA", at positions 28 to 507 of the family's 1533-position model. The record is from RNAcentral.
GAUGAACGCUGGCGGCGUGCCUAAUACAUGCAAGUCGAGCGAACGGACGAGAAGCUUGCUUCUCUGAUGUUAGCGGCGGACGGGUGAGUAACACGUGGAUAACCUACCUAUAAGACUGGGAUAACUUCGGGAAACCGGAGCUAAUACCGGAUAAUAUUUUGCACCGCAUGGUUCAAAAGUGAAAGACGGUCUUGCUGUCACUUAUAGAUGGAUCCGCGCUGCAUUAGCUAGUUGGUAAGGUAACGGCUUACCAAGGCAACGAUGCAUAGCCGACCUGAGAGGGUGAUCGGCCACACUGGAACUGAGACACGGUCCAGACGCCUACGAGAGGCAGCAGUAGGGAAUCUUCCGCAAUGGGCGAAAGCCUGACGGAGCAACGCCGCGUGAGUGAUGAAGGUCUUCGGAUCGUAAAACUCUGUUAUUAGGGAAGAACAUAUGUGUAAGUAACUGUGCACAUCUUGACGGUACCUAAUCAGAAAGCCACGGCUAACUACGUG